CCUACGGGGGGCUGCAGUGAGGAAUAUUGGUCAAUGGACGAGAGUCUGAACCAGCCAAGUAGCGUGAAGGAUGACUGCCCUAUGGGUUGUAAACUUCUUUUAUAAAGGAAUAAAACGAGGCACGUGUGCCUUUUUGCAUGUACUUUAUGAAUAAGGAUCGGCUAACUCCGUGCCAGCAGCCGCGGUAAUACGGAGGAUCCGAGCGUUAUCCGGAUUUAUUGGGUUUAAAGGGAGCGUAGAUGGGUUGUUAAGUCAGUUGUGAAAGUUUGCGGCUCAACCGUAAAAUUGCAAUUGAUACUGGCAGUCGUGAGUACAGUUGAGGUAGGCGGAAUUCGUGGUGUAGCGGUGAAAUGCUUAGAUAGCACGAAGAACCCCGAUUGCGAAGGCAGCUUACUAAACUGUGACUGACAUUGAUGCUCGAAAGUGUGGGUAUCAAACAGGAUUAGAUACCCGGGUAGUC
This 460-nucleotide ribosomal RNA is filed under the name uncultured bacterium. RNAcentral's name for it is "partial 16S ribosomal RNA". It matches the Rfam family "Bacterial small subunit ribosomal RNA", at positions 338 to 795 of the family's 1533-position model. The record is from RNAcentral.